Molecule: ribosomal RNA, 161 nt
Filed under: uncultured bacterium
Lineage: Bacteria
Description: partial 16S ribosomal RNA
Rfam family: Bacterial small subunit ribosomal RNA
Source: RNAcentral
GGAAUCUUCCACAAUGGACGCAAGUCUGAUGGAGCAACGCCGCGUGAGUGAAGAAGGGUUUCGGCUCGUAAAGCUCUGUUGUUAAAGAAGAACGUGGGUAAGAGUAACUGUUUACCCAGUGACGGUAUUUAACCAGAAAGCCACGGCUAACUACGUACCAG